GCUGGGUGUGGUGGUGCACGCCUGUAGUCCCAGCUACUCAGGAGGCUGAGGCAGGAGAAUCGCUUGAACCUGGGAGGCUGAGGUUGCAGUGAGCUGAGAUCACGCCACUGCACUCCAGCCUGGGCAACAAAGCGAGACUCCAUCUCAA
This 148-nucleotide non-coding RNA is filed under the name Gorilla gorilla gorilla (western lowland gorilla). The record is from Rfam by way of RNAcentral. Lineage: Eukaryota; Metazoa; Chordata; Mammalia; Primates; Hominidae.